This 561-nucleotide ribosomal RNA is filed under the name Pseudomonas sp. RNAcentral describes it as "bacterial SSU rRNA". It matches the Rfam family "Bacterial small subunit ribosomal RNA", at positions 78 to 635 of the family's 1533-position model. The record is from RNAcentral. Lineage: Bacteria; Pseudomonadati; Pseudomonadota; Gammaproteobacteria; Pseudomonadales; Pseudomonadaceae.
GCUUGCUUCUCUUGAGAGCGGCGGACGGGUGAGUAAUGCCUAGGAAUCUGCCUGGUAGUGGGGGAUAACGUUCGGAAACGGACGCUAAUACCGCAUACGUCCUACGGGAGAAAGCAGGGGACCUUCGGGCCUUGCGCUAUCAGAUGAGCCUAGGUCGGAUUAGCUAGUUGGUGGGGUAAUGGCUCACCAAGGCGACGAUCCGUAACUGGUCUGAGAGGAUGAUCAGUCACACUGGAACUGAGACACGGUCCAGACUCCUACGGGAGGCAGCAGUGGGGAAUAUUGGACAAUGGGCGAAAGCCUGAUCCAGCCAUGCCGCGUGUGUGAAGAAGGUCUUCGGAUUGUAAAGCACUUUAAGUUGGGAGGAAGGGCAUUAAACUAAUACUUUACUGUUUUGACGUUACCGACAGAAUAAGCACCGGCUAACUCUGUGCCAGCAGCCGCGGUAAUACAGAGGGUGCAAGCGUUAAUCGGAAUUACUGGGCGUAAAGCGCGCGUAGGUGGUUCGUUAAGUUGGAUGUGAAAUCCCCGGGCUCAACCUGGGAACUGCAUUCAAAACUG